AUGAAUGUUUAUGCUGGGCUGUUCCUGCUCUGCCUUCCACAGAAGGCUGCAAGCUCUUCCAGGACAGUUCAAAUGCACCUUGCUCAGCAGGCUGGUCUGGUCUGGUCACCCAUCUGUGGCUGGGAUCACUCACAUCUGUGGAACAACUGUCCACAUCCUCCUGUGAAUGAGGUGGUAUGUGACUGGUAACCUUCCUAGAUGUCUGGUUAAGAAACGUGUUUUCAUCUGUGAUCUAUGGUGCAGCAAGGAAAAAACAAAUGGUCUCACAUCUAAGGAACGGUGAAACCCUCUGACCAUAACAGUAAUGUAACUGGUUUUCAAAAAUUCGGGAAA
Molecule: long non-coding RNA, 333 nt
Filed under: Anser brachyrhynchus (Pink-footed goose)
Lineage: Eukaryota; Metazoa; Chordata; Aves; Anseriformes; Anatidae
Description: lncRNA (ENSABRG00000021230.1)
Source: RNAcentral